GUGCACCAGUCGCGAAACUUUACAAUGUGCGAAAGCACGAUAAGGGAACUCUGAGUGCCUCCUAAGGAGGCUGUUCAGGUGUCUAAAAGCACCUGAAGGAAGGGCUGGGUAAGACCGGUGCCAGCCGCCGCGGUAACACCGGCAGCCCAAGUGGUAGCCACGUUUAUUGGGUCUAAAGCGUCCGUAGCCGGCUGGGUAAGUUCCUUGGGGAAAAUUUUGGGCUGCUUAACAGUCAAGUCUUUCGAGGGAAUACUGCCCGGCUUGGGGACCGGGAGAGGUCAGAGGUACUCCGAGGGGUAGGGGUAGAAAUCCAUUAAUCCGUUGGGGGACCACCGGUAGCGAAGGCGUCUGACCAGACCGGGUCCGACGGUGAGGGACGAAGGCGUAGGGGCG
This 393-nucleotide ribosomal RNA is filed under the name uncultured microorganism. RNAcentral describes it as "bacterial SSU rRNA". It matches the Rfam family "Archaeal small subunit ribosomal RNA", at positions 330 to 720 of the family's 1478-position model. The record is from RNAcentral.